CCACUCCUCGUUGUCUUAAAAGGCAAAGGAGGGCAAAGGGACAACAGACACUUGGCGCAUCCACCAGAGCCCUAAGAAGCAGGAGGAACCGCAGCCACCAGACCACCACCAACAUUUUUUUUUAAAUUCCCCGAUAUAGAAACAAGAUUUUACAAAAAUGGGUACCAACAUGAACUUCAAGGGAUUUGGGAACGACCCACCAGGAAUCAACCCAUUAGCGAGGCAGUCUUCGAUCUAUUCGCUGACGUUUGAGGAGUUGCAGAACACCAUUGGAGGCUCAGGCAAGGACUUUGGGUCCAUGAACAUGGACGAGCUCUUGAAGAGCAUAUGGACGGCUGAAGAGACUCAGAUUAUGGCUCCAUCGGGUGGUGGAGCUGGUGGUCAGAAUGGGCUUGGCCUCGGUGGCGGGUCUCUGCAGAGACAGGGCUCGCUGACCCUGCCCAGAACGUUGAGCCAGAAAACUGUUGAUGAGGUCUGGAAGAACAUCUCAAAAGAAGGGACUGGUGCUGGUGGGUCUAAUAUGCCUCAGAGGCAACAGACCUUGGGAGAGAUGACUUUGGAGGAGUUUCUGGUCAAAGCUGGGGUUGUUAGAGAAGAGGCUCAAUUAGCUCCAAAGCCAGCUAAUAAUGGUGCUGGUUUUUUUGGUGACUUAUCUCGUUUUGGUAAUACUGGUGGUAAUUUGGACUUUGAGUUUCAGCAAACGAAUCGUGGUGUCGGGGUUAUGGGGAAUAGAGUUUCUGAGACCAAUAGUCAAGUUCCUAAUCAGGCCUCCAAUUUGCCAUUGAAUGCUAAUGGGGUUAGAUCAAAUCAGCAACAACAACAGUUACCACAGCAGCAGCAAAUAUUUCCCAAGCAGCAACCUGUCACUUACAACACUUCUCCAUUGCCUAUGGGACCAAAUGCUCAACUGGGUAGUCCUGGAAUGAGGGGUGGGAUUAUGGGAAUUGGUGAUCAGGGUCUGAAUGGUACUCUGGUUCAGAGUUCAGGGAUGGGAAUGGUUGGGUUAGGAGCUGCAGGGGCUGUUCGAGUGGCGACGGGGUCGCCUGCGAACCAGUUGUCAUCUGAUGGAAUUGGGAAGAGUAAUGGUACUGAUACGUCGUCUGUGUCACCGGUGCCUUAUGUGUUUAAUGGUGGCUUUAGGGGGAGGAAAGGCGGUGGCCCUGUGGAGAAGGUUGUGGAGAGAAGACAGAGGAGAAUGAUUAAAAAUAGAGAAUCAGCUGCCAGGUCCCGAGCUCGCAAGCAGAUUCAUGCGGGAGAAUGGUAAUGUGAUAGCGAUUCGACAUGACAAGAGAUGAAAGUUUGAGAAGUUACAGUCAUGAGAAGUUUUAAGGAUCCGGUUUAUUACAAGGCUUACACAAUGGAGUUGGAAGCCGAAGUUGCAAAACUAAAGGAGGAGAACCAAGAGUUGCAGAAAAAACAGGCUGAAAUGAUGGAAAUGCAGAAGAAUCAGGAUAUGGAGAUUAUAAAUCUUCAACGAGGUAAGAAGCGAUGCUUGAGAAGAACGCAGACCGGUCCAUGGUAAAGUGCAGAGGAGGGAAGAGGAUUCUGAUUAGAUGGGCUGUACAUAUUUCAGGAGCAUGUCUCUGCUGUAGAUUUGAGAGGUUUAGUGUGCUGUAGGAUGAACUUAAAUCUACAUUUUUCAUUUGCUUUCUCCUUUGAAUAUUAUGAGUAGAGUAGGUAGGGAGGGGAAGCAAAAUAUGGUCAGUUAGGACUAGGAGAUAUCCUUUGGUCCAUA
Non-coding RNA from Prunus avium (sweet cherry), 1735 nucleotides. NCBI's taxonomy places the organism in Eukaryota, Viridiplantae, Streptophyta, Magnoliopsida, Rosales, Rosaceae. The record is from RefSeq and is a predicted model, not a curated record.